This 194-nucleotide ribosomal RNA is filed under the name uncultured bacterium. Its description in RNAcentral is "partial 16S ribosomal RNA". It matches the Rfam family "Bacterial small subunit ribosomal RNA", at positions 338 to 524 of the family's 1533-position model. The record is from RNAcentral.
CCUACGGGAGGCAGCAGUAGGGAAUCUUCCGCAAUGGACGAAAGUCUGACGGAGCAACGCCGCGUGAGUGAUGAAGGCCUUCGGGUCGUAAAACUCUGUUGUUAGGGAAGAACAAGUAUCGGAGUAACUGCCGGUACCUUGACGGUACCUAACCAGAAAGCCACGGCUAACUACGUGCCAGCAGCCGCGGUAAU